UCCCUGGUGGCUCAGACGGUAAAGAAUUUGCCUGCAAUGCAAAUCCAGAUCCAGGUUCGAUACCUGGGUGGGGAA
Molecule: transfer RNA, 75 nt
Filed under: Bos taurus (domestic cattle)
Lineage: Eukaryota; Metazoa; Chordata; Mammalia; Artiodactyla; Bovidae
Also listed under: 4 other names
Rfam family: tRNA
About the family: Transfer RNA (tRNA) molecules are approximately 80 nucleotides in length. Their secondary structure includes four short double-helical elements and three loops (D, anti-codon, and T loops).
Source: Rfam by way of RNAcentral